This is a non-coding RNA of Albula goreensis, 72 nucleotides long. Lineage: Eukaryota; Metazoa; Chordata; Actinopteri; Albuliformes; Albulidae. The record is from the annotation of a GenBank genome assembly.
GCUGAAAUAUCACAGUUGAGACGGCGUUGGACUGACGAUCUAAAGGUCCCUGGUUCAAUCCCCGGUUGAGCU